RNAcentral lists this ribosomal RNA (253 nucleotides) under uncultured bacterium. RNAcentral describes it as "partial 16S ribosomal RNA". It matches the Rfam family "Bacterial small subunit ribosomal RNA", at positions 524 to 776 of the family's 1533-position model. The record is from RNAcentral.
UACGUAGGGGGCAAGCGUUGUCCGGAAUUAUUGGGCGUAAAGAGCGUGUAGGCGGUCCGGUAAGUCAGCUGUGAAAGUCAAGGGCUCAACCCUUGAAAGCCGGUUGAUACUGUCGGGCUAGAGUCCGGAAGAGGCGAGUGGAAUUCCCGGUGUAGCGGUGAAAUGCGCAGAUAUCGGGAGGAACGCCAAUGGCGAAGGCAGCUCGCUGGGACGGUACUGACGCUGAGGCGCGAAAGCGUGGGGAGCAAACAGG